AGAGUUUGAUCAUGGCUCAGGAUGAACGCUGGCGGCGUGCUUAACACAUGCAAGUCGAGCGGAGAUUUUGAGAAGCUUGCUUUUUGAAAUCUUAGCGGCGGACGGGUGAGUAACGUGUGGGCAACCUGCCUUAUACUGUGGAAUAAUCACUUGAAAAGGUGACUAAUACCGCAUGUGGUCAUUGGAAGGCAUCUUCUGAUGAAGAAAGGAUUUAUUCGGUAUAAGAUGGGCCCGCAUCUGAUUAGCUAGUUGGUGAGAUAACAGCCCACCAAGGCGACGAUCAGUAGCCGACCUGAGAGGGUGAUCGGCCACAUUGGGACUGAGACACGGCCCAAACUCCUACGGGAGGCAGCAGUGGGGAAUAUUGCACAAUGGGGGAAACCCUGAUGCAGCAACGCCGCGUGAAGGAAGACGGUUUUCGGAUUGUAAACUUCUAUCGMUGGGGAAGAAAGAAAUGACGGUAUCCAAAUAAGAAGCCCCGGCUAACUACGUGCCAGCAGCCGCGGUAAUACGUAGGGGGCAAGCGUUAUCCGGAAUUACUGGGUGUAAAGGGAGCGUAGGCGGURUGGUAAGUAAGAUGUGAAAGCCUCGGGCUUAACCUGAGGAUUGCAUUUUAAACUAUCAAACUAGAGUACAGGAGAGGAAAGCGGAAUUCCUAGUGUAGCGGUGAAAUGCGUAGAUAUUAGGAAGAACACCGGUGGCGAAGGCGGCUUUCUGGACUGUAACUGACGCUGAGGCUCGAAAGCGUGGGGAGCGAACAGGAUUAGAUACCCUGGUAGU
This 780-nucleotide ribosomal RNA is filed under the name uncultured bacterium. Its description in RNAcentral is "bacterial SSU rRNA". It matches the Rfam family "Bacterial small subunit ribosomal RNA", at positions 8 to 794 of the family's 1533-position model. The record is from RNAcentral.